GGUCAGGACGAACGCUGGCGGCGUGCCUAACACAUGCAAGUCGAGCGAGGAGAUUCCUCGGGAUGAUCCUAGCGGCGGACGGGUGAGUAACACGUGGGCAACCUGCCUCAUAGAGAGGAAUAGCCUUCCGAAAGGGAGAUUAAUACCUCAUAACAUUGCAGUUUCGCAUGAAACAGCAAUUAAAGGAGCAAUCCGCUAUGAGAUGGGCCCGCGGCGCAUUAGCUAGUUGGUGAGGUAACGGCUCACCAAGGCGACGAUGCGUAGCCGACCUGAGAGGGUGAUCGGCCACAUUGGGACUGAGACACGGCCCAGACUCCUACGGGAGGCAGCAGUGGGGAAUAUUGCACAAUGGAGGAAACUCUGAUGCAGCGACGCCGCGUGAGCGAAGAAGUAUUUCGGUAUGUAAAGCUCUAUCAGCAAGGAAGAUAAUGACGGUACUUGACUAAGAAGCCCCGGCUAACUACGUGCCAGCAGCUGC
RNAcentral lists this ribosomal RNA (478 nucleotides) under uncultured bacterium. RNAcentral describes it as "bacterial SSU rRNA". It matches the Rfam family "Bacterial small subunit ribosomal RNA", at positions 22 to 518 of the family's 1533-position model. The record is from RNAcentral.